GACGAACGCUGGCGGCGUGCUUAACACAUGCCAGUCGAACGGAAAGGCCCUGCUUUUGUGGGGUGCUCGAGUGGCGAACGGGUGAGUAACACGUGAGAACCUGCCCUUGACUUUGGGAUAACUUCAGGAAACUGGGGCUAAUACCGGAUAGGAGCUCCUGCUGCAUGGUGGGGGUUGGAAAGUUUCGGCGGUUGGGGAUGGACUCGCGGCUUAUCAGCUUGUUGGUGGGGUAGUGGCUUACCAAGGCUUUGACGGGUAGCCGGCCUGAGAGGGUGACCGGCCACAUUGGGACUGAGAUACGGCCCAGACUCCUACGGGAGGCAGCAGUGGGGAAUAUUGCACAAUGGGCGGAAGCCUGAUGCAGCAACGCCGCGUGCGGGAUGACGGCCUUCGGGUUGUAAACCGCUUUCGCCUGUGACGAAGCGUGAGUGACGGUAAUGGGUAAAGAAGCACCGGCUAACUACGUG
This 467-nucleotide ribosomal RNA is filed under the name uncultured bacterium. Its description in RNAcentral is "partial 16S ribosomal RNA". It matches the Rfam family "Bacterial small subunit ribosomal RNA", at positions 28 to 507 of the family's 1533-position model. The record is from RNAcentral.